AAUAUGAGAGGAACAGCCCUGCAGACACCAAGGUCAGUGCAGAAGGAGGGGAGGAGGUGCUCCAGGCAUUGGAGCUGAGAUUCCCCUGCAGCCUGUGGUGCAGCCCAUGGUGGAGCAGCUGUGCCUCUGCAGCCCAUGAAAGUCCAUGGGGAUGCAGAGUGCCACCUGCAGCCCCUGGAGGAGACCCACACUGGAGCAGGUGUAUGCCUGAGAGGAGUCUGUGACCCUGUGGGAGGCCUGUACUGGAGCAGGCUUCUGGAAGGAGCUUGAAGAUCCAUGGAGAGAGGAGCCAACACUGGAGUAGGUUUCCUGGUAGGACUUGUGACCCCAUGGGGGUCACACACUGGAGCAGGUUGUGCCCGAAGGACCCCGUGGAAGAGUGACCCACCCUGCAGCAGUUUGUGGAGACCUAUAGCCCAUGGGAUUCACUCACUUUGCAAUUCAUGGAGAACUACUUCCCGUGGAAGGGACCCCACCCUGGAGCAGCGGAAGGAUUCCUGUCCUUGAGCAGGGUCAGGAACAAUGUGUGAUGCAAUGACUAUAACCCCGUUCUCUGUCUCACAGAGCAACUGCAGGGAGGAGCAAAAGCCUCAUUUAAAAUGAUUUAUUAUUCUCCACAAAGAAAAUUUCAGGAUGGAUUUUCAUGUUACUGCUGUGGCCUUUCCUGAAUGGCCUGAUACAUGAUCAGUUAACUGCCUUAUCUCAACCUACUAGUUGUUUUCCAUCUGAUUUUUCUCUCCCCUGUCCCAUUAGAAAGGAGAGUAAUAGAGUGGCUCGGAGGGCACCUGGAGUCCAGCCAAGGCAUCCAGGAAAGCCAGAAGUAAAAAGACCAACCAAACAAACAAAAAAGCCAAAGAAAACCACAACAGUGAUAAAAGCGACAAACAAUCCUCAUUCUUUUUACUAUAUCCUCUCCCUCUCUAUAAAUUGGUACCCAUGUUGCAUUCAGAGAAAUGAAUGUUGUGUACCAUUUCCCCAGAUUUCGUUCUCUACAGAAAUUCAAGAUAAAGGUGGAGAGAAAAGGGGAAAUAAAUGUCUAGUUGUAACUGAAUCUGUAGACCUCCUUCAGUCCUUAAGGAGUGUUCAGCUGUCUGAAGUUUAUCAUGGUAGCCAAUGAUCAAAUACCAGCAGGCUCCUUAGGUGAUACUUAAGGAUUAAACAGAUAAUCUAAUUCACAUCCUUCUUACAGAUUUUGAUGCCUAAGACUGACACUAUUCUUCAUCAAGAUUCCUCUUAAAGAUCUAUAAUCCUCAUAGAUCAUAGUCCCAUUUGAGUUCAGUUUUCCCUUUAAAACCUUCUUUUUAGCCUUGGCACAUCCAGAGGGUUUGGUAACAAGGCUCUAUUUAAUUGCUCAGUCCUUUCUUUCUUGAUAUGAAAAUGAGAAAACUUUACAAUUACUAAAGUGUAUUUCAAAGGACAAAAUUAUAUAAAGGAAAAGACCCAUAUUUGAACCUAAUAUAAUGAUUUCUCUUCUCUGCAACCUGGGCUACUGCCAAAUAUAGUCCUUAUACCCUAUUUCAGAAAUUACCAACGGGACAGUGAUUUUAAUUGAAAUUAUGAUGUUAAAAUUAUACAUAUUGAGAAAACAAUUGUGUUUUCAAAGUGUGGUUUUGUGUUGCUGUUCUAUGAGACACUGAGAAUCACUUUUUUGCUAAUCAAAGGAACCAGGAGGCUCCCAGGUCCUUCUGAGAUGAGACUUUGAUCUUGUGUUAUUUUUUAUUUCUGACUCAUGAUUUACCUCUUGAAAUCACUUGCUGCUAGUAUUAAAUCAGUAGAGGUUUUGCUCUGAAAUGAUGUCACUAUCAAGAAUAAAAUAUAGACUCUUCUUUUCAUUUACCAGUAGCAGCUAUAAAUUAGCUGUAAUUUUUUCUUUGCU
Passer domesticus (house sparrow) is the source of this 1876-nucleotide long non-coding RNA. RefSeq lists it as uncharacterized. NCBI's taxonomy places the organism in Eukaryota, Metazoa, Chordata, Aves, Passeriformes, Passeridae. The record is from RefSeq and is a predicted model, not a curated record. The transcript is spliced from 4 exons.